This 1511-nucleotide long non-coding RNA is filed under the name Salvia miltiorrhiza (redroot sage). RNAcentral describes it as "long non-coding RNA (SMIL_LNC011391)". The record is from RNAcentral. Lineage: Eukaryota; Viridiplantae; Streptophyta; Magnoliopsida; Lamiales; Lamiaceae.
AGUUGAUUCCGGCAACAACAACUACAUUCAAACUAUUAGUCGGAGCAACUUCCCGCCCUACGGAAAGGAUCUCCCCGACCACAUUGCCACCGGAAGGUUUACCAACGGCAAGCUCGUCACCGACUUUUUGGGUGCGUACUCUAUUAUCCUGCAUUUCACUCGUAUAUAUAGUAACACAUAUGCAAAAUGACUAAAUGCAGCUUUGUUGAUAAGACAUUUUUCCGAAUUAGUAUUUUGUAUAUUAAGUGUGGUAAGUGAAAAAUUGAAAAGGUAAAUUAAAAAAAAAAACUUUUGCCAUAUAAAGAAAGUGUUCAAGUUUCGCAAGACAGCUCGAAAAGAAAUACUGCUCAAGAUUCGUGGGACGGAGUGAGUACUUAUUUUUUAAUUAACUUGUAAUGUUAAACUUUUUUGAACAAGAGUACUUUGUUUUAUAGAAAGUUAAAAGAUACUCAGUUGUGUAUGCGAGUGAUUAUUGAGAAUGUGAUUGCGAGUGAUUAAGUUACUACACCAUUAUAUUUAGUAAUUGUUGACUUGUCAAAGUCUGGAUUUUACAAAAAAGUACACACAUUUUUACCAACAAUACGGAUCUUAGAACUAAUCAAGUAAAAAAUUAAUUUUUUUUACGUGCAUAUGUAAGUAUGUAACAAAAUGUGCUUUAUAAAAUUUAGUGUGUUAUAUACAUGAUAUUGAUAUGGGUUUAUAUACGUAAAUAAAUUAACUUGGUUUAUUAAACCCAAAAGAAAAUCUGGCUUUGGAAAGGCGAUGAGAAUCAAGACAAAUUUGAAUUAUAUAUCUAUAAAAAGUACUUGUAGAAGUAUAGGAAAAGUCCCUUUCAUCUUAUUUGUGGCAAAACAAGCAUCUUUAAUUUGUAGCAAAAAAAAACAUCUCUAUUAUUUGUAGCAAGCUGUUUGCUUUUAAUAUGUGUGUGCCUAUAUAUAUAUGUGUGUACGGUUGAGAUCUAGUGAGAACUACAGAUAAAUAAAUCCAUGAAAUUUAUGAAUAAAUCGAUGAAAUUCAUGAACAAAUAAUGCGAUUGUUCAUGUGUUACAUUAAUUUAUUCUUGUGUUCCUAUUUUUCACGAAAAAUAGUUAUUUUCACUAAAUCGUAUGAGAAAGUAUCCUAUGGCUGAUAACUUGGUGCUGCAUUUUUUUUAAUGUAUCCUAUGGCUGAUAGCCCUAUAUAUAUAUAUCAACAACUUUCAAACAUUACAAACAAAAAAAAAAGAAUUAAAUACUAGAUGCUGCAAUUUGUGAGGUGUUUGUGGAGUUUAGUUUAUACAUGAAUUAAUAAAUGAUUUAGCAAAAAUGUGAAACAGCUUCUUAUGCGGGGAUCAAAGAAAUGAUACCACCCUACUUAGACCCCACGCUUACCGUUGACGACCUCAAGACCGGAGUCUGUUUUGCUUCUGCUGGCACUGGCUUCGACCCCCUUACUGCCCAACUCAAUGUCUCUCUCUCUCUCUCUCUCUCACACACACACACACACUUAAUUGGUGGAUUUGUGAAUUUUGG